RNAcentral lists this ribosomal RNA (492 nucleotides) under uncultured bacterium. RNAcentral's name for it is "partial 16S ribosomal RNA". It matches the Rfam family "Bacterial small subunit ribosomal RNA", at positions 29 to 507 of the family's 1533-position model. The record is from RNAcentral.
AGUGAACGCUGGCGGUAGGCCUAACACAUGCAAGUCGAACGGCAGCACAGUAAGAGCUUGCUCUUACGGGUGGCGAGUGGCGGACGGGUGAGGAAUACAUCGGAAUCUACUUUUUCGUGGGGGAUAACGUAGGGAAACUUACGCUAAUACCGCAUACGACCUACGUGUGAAAGCAGGGGAUCUUCGGACCUUGCGCGAUUGAAUGAGCCGAUGUCGGAUUAGCUAGUUGGCGGUGUAAAGGCCCACCAAGGCGACGAUCCGUAGCUGGUCUGAGAGGAUGAUCAGCCACACUGGAACUGAGACACGGUCCAGACUCCUACGGGAGGCAGCAGUGGGGAAUAUUGGACAAUGGGCGCAAGCCUGAUCCAGCCAUACCGCGUGGGUGAAGAAGGCCUUCGGGUUGUAGAGCCCUUUUGUUGGGAAAGAAAAGCAGCAGGUUAAUACCCCGCUGUUCUGACGGUACCCAAAGAAUAAGCACCGGCUAACUUCGUG